UACGGAGGGUGCAAGCGUUAAUCGGAAUUACUGGGCGUAAAGCGCACGCAGGUGGCUGAGUCAGUCGAUUGUGAAAGCCCUGGGCUUAACCUGGGAAUUGCAGUCGAUACUACUCAGCUAGAGUAUGGGAGAGGGUAGUGGAAUUCCCGGUGUAGCGGUGAAAUGCGCAGAUAUCGGGAGGAACACCGGUGGCGAAGGCGGUUCUCUGGGCCUGUACUGACGCUGAGGAGCGAAAGCGUGGGGAGCGAACAGG
Molecule: ribosomal RNA, 253 nt
Filed under: uncultured bacterium
Lineage: Bacteria
Description: partial 16S ribosomal RNA
Rfam family: Bacterial small subunit ribosomal RNA
Source: RNAcentral